This 224-nucleotide long non-coding RNA is filed under the name Citrus sinensis (sweet orange). RNAcentral's name for it is "long non-coding RNA (CSIN_LNC000420)". Lineage: Eukaryota; Viridiplantae; Streptophyta; Magnoliopsida; Sapindales; Rutaceae. The record is from RNAcentral.
CUGCACAAGCAGCAACUGCAGCGCGCGAGCAGCAGCUGCAGCGCCCAAGCAGCAGCGUGAACGUGGGCUGGAGGCGCGGAGCGUUCUGGUUGGCGUCUUUCCGGCGUCGAUGACGGCUGUCCGGUGUGGAAACAGUAAACAACGGCUGGGUUUUUGUGCUGGUGGCGGCUGGGGAAGAAGAGGAAAAGAAAAAUGUGAUUUUAGGGUUCCAUGGUUUUUAUCGU